UUAAUCAGUUAUUCUGUUUAUCUCGUGAAUAAUUUAAACCAUGAUUUCUCUAAAGGUAAUCCAAGUACCAGACUUAGAGAAUAAUGAAUCGCGUUUCAUAUGAAUAACUCAGCAUUUUGGGACAUUGUGCUUGUCUGCUUACUUAAGAAACAAACACAUCAAGGCUGCUUUACGAUCUGAACACAAAGUCUAAAGCCUUUGCCUGAGGUAAAAUUAGCUUAACUCCGCACAGACUGCAGACAAGACAACAUCUGGGCACUGUGGUCCCUCGCAGCCAGAGGCCCUCAGUUGAGUCCAAAGUGUGCCUCCACAGCCACGGCUCUCUGCGUUGAUGUCCCCUGAGGCCAGGCGUUGAGCUCGGGCCUGCUCAGACCCCAGCACUGCGCCGGACCACCACUGCAGCCUCUCGCUCGAGCUCCUCCGCCCCUCCAUCCAUUAUGCAGCCAGUAGCACCCAGCUGCAGAGCUUUACUCCUCAGCUCGUCCCUACCCUUGCCUCCACCGCUUGCCUACUCCGUGCCCGUGUCGGGUUCAGUUGUUCGCUCGCUCAUUCAGACGCUCAAUCAGCCACAAGCCCGCCAGCGACCGGCCUCACAUUCACACAGGAAGGACAUAAAACCACCACCAGUGGCGCUCCUCUGUUGAAGUGAUAGACUUAACUGAGUUUUAAUUCAAUUUAGAUACAUCUUCAUAAUUGCUGACAGUUAUUACACAAGAUAUUUACAGUCAUUAUGAAAUAUUACAAUUAGAAUUUACAGAAACUUUGUACAAAAUAUGCCUGACUUCAAUGCCUGGAUAGUAAGGGGAGGGAUCCUGGUUAUGUUGUUUCAGGAGCGUGAGACAUUGACCCAAAAGUCAGUGGUGUCUGGAAGUGCUUUAGUUUCAGCAAGUAGAUGCUUUCAGAGUCCAUUAAAAAGAAAAGGAAAAAAAAAAAAAAACAAGAGACAGAGAGAGAGAAAGAGA
This is a long non-coding RNA of Xiphophorus hellerii (green swordtail), 962 nucleotides long. RefSeq lists it as uncharacterized. The transcript is spliced from 2 exons. NCBI's taxonomy places the organism in Eukaryota, Metazoa, Chordata, Actinopteri, Cyprinodontiformes, Poeciliidae. The record is from RefSeq and is a predicted model, not a curated record.